ACAAAUUUCACUGAGUGGACUUAAAAACUAAUCAGACUUGCCUGUUAGCGCAUUACACUGAAGUUCUUGCUCAGAAAGGCCUUUGUCGUCACCGAAAGGGAUAAAAUAGAUAAUAGAAGUCAAUGAACAUGCUAACCUGCGUCUCCAGAACACCCAUAUAGUCAAUGGAAGAAUAUCCAGCUGAGGAAACAAAUCACUAAACUGUGAUAAGAAAAUAAUAAACAAACAUGUAAAUCCUGUGGAAAAAAAAAUUAAAGGAAGUAUUUACACUUUGGAGAAAAAAAAAAUACUGAAACAUGCUUGCUUUUUAACUGACGUAAAUUCAGUAGAGGACAACACGAUUCUUUUUUCUAACCAUCUUAGGGAACAAUACAUUGCAAUAAUUGAUAUAAAUGCCAUCACUGUAAUAAACUUUAGAGACUUUUUUCUAUAAAAGUUGUUGGUCAUCUUCUUGUUUGCUGUAACCUUCACUCUGUCACAUGAGCCGGUUCACAGAUUGCAUCCAUCUCCACUACCAGGAACAAAAACAAAAUGAAGAAAAUGUUGACGUUAAAUCAUCAGUCUACAAUGUAGAAUCAACAGAGACUACGGGUCACUCAUGUUAUCGAUCUUAUUUAUAAUCUUGUUUUGUGUACAAAAUUGUGGUUUUUGUACCCACCAAAAAGAAUAAAACAGCAGAUGUUCUUACAAUAUCUACAAAGCUUAAAAGGUUUUUUUUUUAUCAUUAUAAACAUUAUUUGAGAAAUUACAAGAGUAUACAAAGGAUUGUAGAAGUCAAAUGGUGGGCCAUAUUGGAAAAUGUAGCUAGCCCUUAUUCUUUUUGCAUACUAAACUGUCCUUUUGUUGCAGAUCUUUGACUGGUUAGCAGGUUAAAUUGUUAAAGAUGGAGUCUUUGAGUCUGGAAUGAAUCAUUGUCCUACAGCAACCAUACCCUGUACCUGUGCUGAAAUUUUACUUGACUGUAUUUUGCUGCAUAAAAUUAUGUGUUUGGUGGGCUUCUUCCCCCAUUCCUAUUGUUCCAUUUAAAUCCUUUGAAGGCACUAGUAAUAGUUUGGGGUGGACCACAAAUGAAUAAUUAGUCCUUGAUUUCACCUGGAAAUUAUAAUGAAAAUUAUAUCUAUAUUCAUUAAUAAAAAUUAAUUUGUUAUACAUGUAGUAAAUAAACAAGGUUCAAAGGAAGAUUUGGCUCAUUUGAAAUAAUAAAUAAGUACUCUAGUACAGAUAAAAAUCACAUACUUAGGGAUCUUGGCAGAAAGCACAAGUUAGGAUGAUUUCAAAACUCUGUCCUUGAAGGAUGAGUCAAGUUUUAAAAGGAGGAGAAGGUGUCGAGAGCCUUAUGGAUGAGCAGUGUCCAACACCAUGCAUGUCAAUGGCUUGCUUGAGGAAUGUAUGCAUCUAGGUGAGCUGGCAAGAGCACUGGUGUGAUAAUCAUGCAAAAUAAUAUGGAGAAGGUGAAGGGUUAAUUUCCUUCCCUUACCUCUUGAGAUUACCAUCCCUCGUUCAAUCUCUGCCACAGGAAGAGCAAUCUUUAAAAGUAUAAAUUUGAUAAUGCACAAGUGCACUGUUCCUUCAAGAAAUAUUCCAAGUUCUUGAGCAAAUGAAUCCCUUUGUGAUCAGGCCCUUGCUGUGUAUCUUCAAGGACUUCUCUCACUUCUAUCUAACUCCUCUGACAGAAAAUGAACCUCCCAAGCAGCACAUGGAACACUGCGUGUAUUAUUUCCUCAGUCUAUAACUCUUCCCUGUCUCCUCCUUACCGGACUAACACUCAUCCUUCAGUACUCAAAUUGAAUUGUACUUGUCCUGGGAGGACUUUCACGACUGCCCACCACCCCUGCCUACGAGUUAGGUGCCGCUCUUAAUGUUUCUCCCCCAUCACGGCACUUGCCAUACUGCAUUGUAAUUGCCUGUGUAUUUGUCUGUAAACUACUAGACUGUAAGCUCCUUGAGGGCAGGGACUGUGUCUAUCUUGUUCACAGUUGUAUCCCCAGCACCCAGCACAGUGCCUGGCAUAUUGUAGGUGCUUAAUAAAUAUUUGUUGAACGAAAAAAUGAAAUUAAUUGAAUUAAUUUAAUUAAGGGAAAGCAGAAAGACAACUGUUUCCUCACUGAAGUUCCCUGGAGUGUUCACUAAGUAUACAGUGGGUCAAAAUAAAG
Molecule: long non-coding RNA, 2153 nt
Filed under: Marmota monax (woodchuck)
Lineage: Eukaryota; Metazoa; Chordata; Mammalia; Rodentia; Sciuridae
Source: RNAcentral